ACUAUUUUGGCAGAAAAAUGUGAUAAAUUUAGAGUUUAUUUAUGUAAUAAAAAUAUUACAAAUAGUA
Molecule: transfer RNA, 67 nt
Filed under: Mystilus priamus
Lineage: Eukaryota; Metazoa; Arthropoda; Insecta; Hemiptera; Miridae
Description: tRNA-Leu
Source: RNAcentral